CUGAUCUUUCUCUCUGAGCUUGAUAAUGGCGCAAUCAAAGGGAUGGAUUCAGAACGAGGAUGUGGUGUGAAUGAUAAUGAAUCCGAUUUAAGCAUAAAUAUGAUACCUUGACGGAAGAGAUAUACGCUUAAUGCAUGAAGAAAGGACAGAAGCUUUGACUUUUCUUCUCACGGUUUUUUUUUUUUGAGUUAUUCCUCAAAGUCUUG
This is a long non-coding RNA of Brassica oleracea var. oleracea, 206 nucleotides long. RefSeq lists it as uncharacterized. The transcript has 3 exons. The record is from RefSeq and is a predicted model, not a curated record. NCBI's taxonomy places the organism in Eukaryota, Viridiplantae, Streptophyta, Magnoliopsida, Brassicales, Brassicaceae.